UCUUCCUUGGUCUAGUGGUCAUGAUUUCCGCUUGUCAUUAACCCCGAUAAGCGCGGGAGACCGGGGUUCGAUUCCCCGAGGGAGAG
RNAcentral lists this transfer RNA (86 nucleotides) under Penicillium brasilianum. RNAcentral's name for it is "tRNA-Asp". It matches the Rfam family "tRNA". From Rfam's summary of the family: Transfer RNA (tRNA) molecules are approximately 80 nucleotides in length. Their secondary structure includes four short double-helical elements and three loops (D, anti-codon, and T loops). RNAcentral also lists the same sequence under 1 other name. The record is from RNAcentral. Lineage: Eukaryota; Fungi; Ascomycota; Eurotiomycetes; Eurotiales; Aspergillaceae.